Molecule: ribosomal RNA, 511 nt
Filed under: uncultured Prochlorococcus sp.
Lineage: Bacteria; Bacillati; Cyanobacteriota; Cyanophyceae; Synechococcales; Prochlorococcaceae
Description: bacterial SSU rRNA
Rfam family: Bacterial small subunit ribosomal RNA
Source: RNAcentral
GUUAUCCGGAAUUAUUGGGCGUAAAGCGUCCGCAGGCGGCCUGACAAGUCUGCUGUUAAAGCGUGGAGCUUAACUCCAUUUCAGCAGUGGAAACUGUCAGGCUUGAGUGUGGUAGGGGCAGAGGGAAUUCCGGUGUAGCGGUGAAAUGCGUAGAUAUCGGGAAGAACACCAGUGGCGAAAGCGCUCUGCUGGGCCAUAACUGACGCUCAUGGACGAAAGCCAGGGGAGCGAAAGGGAUUAGAUACCCCUGUAGUCCUGGCCGUAAACGAUGAACACUAGGUGUCGGGGGAAUCGACCCCCUCGGUGUCGUAGCCAACGCGUUAAGUGUUCCGCCUGGGGAGUACGCACGCAAGUGUGAAACUCAAAGGAAUUGACGGGGGCCCGCACAAGCGGUGGAGCAUGUGGUUUAAUUCGAAGCAACGCGCAGAACCUUACCAACCCUUGACAUCCUCGGACCGCCAGAGAGAUCUGGUUUUCUCGCAAGAGACCGAGUGACAGGUGCUGCAUGGCU